This 625-nucleotide ribosomal RNA is filed under the name Ciliophora sp. RNAcentral describes it as "SSU rRNA". It matches the Rfam family "Eukaryotic small subunit ribosomal RNA", at positions 341 to 980 of the family's 1831-position model. Lineage: Eukaryota; Ciliophora. The record is from RNAcentral.
CUACCAUGGCGUUUACGGGUAACGGAGGAUUAGGGUUCGAUUCCGGAGAGGGAGCCCGAGAAACGGCUACCACAUCUAAGGAAGGCAGCAGGCGCGUAAAUUACCCAAUCCUGACUCAGGGAGGUAGUGACAAGAAAUAACGGACCGGCCCUUUCGGGCUCGGGAUUGCAAUGAGCCGAAUUUACACCCCUUAGCGAGGAUCGAUUGGAGGGCAAGUCUGGUGCCAGCAGCCGCGGUAAUUCCAGCUCCAAUAGCGUAUAUUAAAGUUGUUGCAGUUAAAAAGCUCGUAGUUGGAUUUCUGGGAGGGUGCCAAUGUCCGCCGACGUGCGUGCGCAGCGGCGCCCUUCCAUCCUUCUGUUAACGCCUCUUGGCAUUCAUUUGCUGGUGGCGGGCUCAGAUAUUUUACCUUGAGAAAAUUAGAGUGUUUCAGGCAGGCUAGGCCGGAAUACAUUAGCAUGGAAUAAUGGAAUAGGACUACGGUCUCUUUGUUGGUUUGAGGGACUGCAGUAAUGAUUAAUAGGGAUAGUUGGGGGCAUUAGUAUUUAAUUGUCAGAGGUGGAAUUCUCAGAUUUGUUAAAGACUAACUUAUGCGAAAGCAUUUGCCAAGGAUGUUUUCAUUAAUCAA